This is a long non-coding RNA of Salvelinus namaycush (lake trout), 205 nucleotides long. RefSeq lists it as uncharacterized. The transcript is spliced from 3 exons. Lineage: Eukaryota; Metazoa; Chordata; Actinopteri; Salmoniformes; Salmonidae. The record is from RefSeq and is a predicted model, not a curated record.
GACUUUGUGGACUACCUGAGUGACCCCUCCAAGAAGAUUGACAUUGAGAGGGAGCUGGCUGAGGCAAAGAUCCAUCAUGUUAACCUGAUAGAUGUCCUCUUUGAACUGGUGAUGUUUGGGAUGAUGACAGCUCAGAAGUCCCUGAUGGUGCACCCUGGUGGGUUCAUGGAGCGUCUGUAUGCUCUCCUGUACUCCUUCCUGCCUG